This 348-nucleotide ribosomal RNA is filed under the name uncultured bacterium. Its description in RNAcentral is "bacterial SSU rRNA". It matches the Rfam family "Bacterial small subunit ribosomal RNA", at positions 917 to 1267 of the family's 1533-position model. The record is from RNAcentral.
GGACCCGCACAAGUAGUGGAGCAUGUGGUUUAAUUCGAUGCAACGCGAAGAACCUUACCAGGGUUUGACAUCCUGCGAAUCUCUUGGAAACUUGAGAGUGCCUUCGGGAGCGCAGUGACAGGUGGUGCAUGGCUGUCGUCAGCUCGUGUCGUGAGAUGUUGGUUAAGUCCCGCAACGAGCGCAACCCACGUCUUUAGUUGCCAGCAUUUAGUUGGGCACUCUAGAGAGACCGCCGGUGAUAAACCGGAGGAAGGUGUGGAUGACGUCAAGUCAUCAUGCCCCUUACAUCCUGGGCUACACACGUACUACAAUGCUACGGACAAAGGGCAGCAAGUUCGCGAGGACAAG